RNAcentral lists this non-coding RNA (23 nucleotides) under Cricetulus griseus (Chinese hamster). Lineage: Eukaryota; Metazoa; Chordata; Mammalia; Rodentia; Cricetidae. The record is from RNAcentral.
ACUGGGCACGAGGAAUAAAAAGA